GUCAAUGUUGCUAAAAGAAUAAUCAUUGAGAACCUGUCAGGAAGCAGGUGACAGGAGCUUCUGUGGCUGUUGAGUUACAGGUGUGUCUGCAGGAAAGACUUUUCAGGCUCCUUUCCUGGUUGCUGCACACAAGCCCCGCUCCCAUGGCAGGGGUCCUCCGAGAAGGCGGAACAAACCUAUAGGAGACAGGAAGUCCCUGGAGGCAUCCAAACACAUGCACAGGAUCGGGAGUGACCUGGAGAGACAACGUGGUGAACCUGAUGAUGAAGACGAUCCUGAUGACGAAGAUAAUACUUUUGAUGAAGACGAUCUGAAUUCCCAACCUGUACCCAUUACUGAGCCUCUGAGAGAUGCUGAGGGUGUGUCUGCAGGGAGGACUUUGGUGGAUGUUGCACACAAGCCCCGCUCCCAUCGCAGGGGUGAGUAGUGUGUCCCUGCUGACCCCACAGGCUGGGACUUCGUUUUGUGAGAUCCAUUCCUGGGAAAUGGAACUCUGUUUCUCUUAAGGUCCUCCAAGAAGGAAGAAGAAACCUACAGGAGCUCGUAAGUCCCUGGACCAUUCCAAACAUCUGGAACAAAAACGGAGUGGUGUGGACAGCCAGAGUGAUGCAGCCGAGACCUCAACACAUUCUGACUACACUUGGAAAAGCAUGAUAAGAGUGGUCUGCUGGGGAACACCUUGUUUGAUUAAGUUGAUGGCCAUUGUGGCUGGUGCAGCACUGUGCCUGCUUUUGUGCUCUGCUGGAAUCUGGUAUUGCUGGACGAGAAAAUGGUGCUCCUGUGCAUGUUCAGAAGACGCACCUAAAAACAGAGGCAAUGAGAACCUGAAACUUUAUCCCAGUUCUUCACUUCUGCCCCUGUCUGCCUUGCCAUGGCUGCAUCCCCGCCAUGAGGCCAUCCCAAAACCCACCCCUCCUCAACGAGACCCUCUCCCCCUGAGUCCCCUGGUCUUGUUCCCCGGCCAGGAAUGAAGGUGGGCAGCCCUUGUCUGCCAGGGCAG
This is a long non-coding RNA of Passer domesticus (house sparrow), 1000 nucleotides long. RefSeq lists it as uncharacterized. The transcript is spliced from 6 exons. The record is from RefSeq and is a predicted model, not a curated record. NCBI's taxonomy places the organism in Eukaryota, Metazoa, Chordata, Aves, Passeriformes, Passeridae.